ACGGAAGGCAGCAGUGAGGGAUAUUGCACAAUGGGGGAAACCCUGAUGCAGCGACGCCGCGUGAGUGAAGAAGUAUUUCGGUACGUAAAGCUCUAUCAGCAGGGAAGAAAAUGACGGUACCUGACUAAGAAGCCCUGGCUAACUACGUGCCAGCAGCCGCGGUAAUACGUAGGGGGCAAGCGUUAUCCGGAUUUACUGGGUGUAAAGGGAGCGUAGACGGUAUGGCAAGUCUGGUGUGAAAACCCGGGGCUCAACCCCGGGAUUGCAUUGGAAACUGUCAAACUAGAGUGCAGGAGAGGUAAGUGGAAUUCCUAGUGUAGCGGUGAAAUGCGUAGAUAUUAGGAGGAACACCAGUGGCGAAGGCGGCUUACUGGACUGUAACUGACGUUGAGGCUCGAAAGCGUGGGGAGCAAACAGGAUUAGAUACCCUGGUA
Molecule: ribosomal RNA, 434 nt
Filed under: uncultured Lachnospiraceae bacterium
Lineage: Bacteria; Bacillati; Bacillota; Clostridia; Lachnospirales; Lachnospiraceae
Description: bacterial SSU rRNA
Rfam family: Bacterial small subunit ribosomal RNA
Source: RNAcentral